CUCUGCCUACGGGGGGCAGCAGUGGGGAAUAUUGGGCAAUGGGGGAAACCCUGACCCAGCGACGCCGCGUGAGGGAAGAAGGUUUUCGGAUUGUAAACCUCUGUCCUUGGUGACGAUAAUGGCGGUAGCCAAGGAGGAAGCCACGGCUAACUACGUGCCAGCAGCCGCGGUAAUACGUAGGGGGCGAGCGUUGUCCGGAAUUACUGGGGGUAAAGGGAGCGUAGGCGGGAGAGCAAGUCGACUGUGAAA
RNAcentral lists this ribosomal RNA (249 nucleotides) under uncultured bacterium. RNAcentral's name for it is "partial 16S ribosomal RNA". It matches the Rfam family "Bacterial small subunit ribosomal RNA", at positions 333 to 599 of the family's 1533-position model. The record is from RNAcentral.